AAUGAACGCUGGCGGCAGGCCUAACACAUGCAAGUCGAGCGAAGUCUUCGGACUUAGCGGCGGACGGGUGAGUAACGCGUGGGAACAUGCCCUUUGGUGCGGAAUAGCCCCGGGAAACUGGGAGUAAUACCGCAUGUGCCCUUCGGGGGAAAGAUUUAUCGCCAAAGGAUUGGCCCGCGUUGGAUUAGGUAGUUGGUGGGGUAAUGGCCUACCAAGCCGACGAUCCAUAGCUGGUUUGAGAGGAUGAUCAGCCACACUGGGACUGAGACACGGCCCAGACUCCUACGGGAGGCAGCAGUAGGGAAUCUUAGACAAUGGGCGCAAGCCUGAUCUAGCCAUGCCGCGUGAUCGAUGAAGGCCUUAGGGUUGUAAAGAUCUUUCAGUGGGGAAGAUAAUGACGGUACCCACAGAAGAAGCCCCGGCUAACUCCGUG
Molecule: ribosomal RNA, 433 nt
Filed under: uncultured bacterium
Lineage: Bacteria
Description: partial 16S ribosomal RNA
Rfam family: Bacterial small subunit ribosomal RNA
Source: RNAcentral